GAUGAACGCUAGCUACAGGCUUAACACAUGCAAGUCGAGGGGCAGCAUGUCGGUUGCUUGCAACCGAUGAUGGCGACCGGCGCACGGGUGAGUAACGCGUAUCCAACCUACCCUUGUCCAUCGGAUAACCCGUCGAAAGGCGGCCUAACACGAUAUGCGGUUCUCAGCAGGCAUCUAACGAGAACGAAAUGUGAAGGAGAAGGAUGGGGAUGCGUCUGAUUAGCUUGUUGGCGGGGUAACGGCCCACCAAGGCGACGAUCAGUAGGGGUUCUGAGAGGAAGGUCCCCCACAUUGGAACUGAGACACGGUCCAAACUCCUACGGGAGGCAGCAGUGAGGAAUAUUGGUCAAUGGACGGGAGUCUGAACCAGCCAAGUAGCGUGCAGGAUGACGGCCCUAUGGGUUGUAAACUGCUUUUAUAGGGGGAUAAAGUGUGCCACGUGUGGCAUAUUGCAGGUACCCUAUGAAUAAGGACCGGCUAAUUCCGUGCCAGCAGCCGCGGUAAUACGGAAGGUCCGGGCGUUAUCCGGAUUUAUUGGGUUUAAAGGGAGCGUAGGCCGUCUUAUAAGCGUGUUGUGAAAUGUCGGGGCUCAACCUGGGCAUUGCAGCGCGAACUGUGAGACUUGAGUGCGCAGGAAGUAGGCGGAAUUCGUCGUGUAGCGGUGAAAUGCUUAGAUAUGACGAAGAACUCCGAUUGCGAAGGCAGCCUGCUGUAGCGCAACUGACGCUGAAGCUCGAAAGCGUGGGUAUCGAACAGG
RNAcentral lists this ribosomal RNA (757 nucleotides) under uncultured bacterium. Its description in RNAcentral is "bacterial SSU rRNA". It matches the Rfam family "Bacterial small subunit ribosomal RNA", at positions 28 to 776 of the family's 1533-position model. The record is from RNAcentral.